RNAcentral lists this ribosomal RNA (467 nucleotides) under Fusarium oxysporum. RNAcentral describes it as "eukaryotic LSU rRNA". The stretch from base 118 to 271 matches the Rfam family "5.8S ribosomal RNA". Lineage: Eukaryota; Fungi; Ascomycota; Sordariomycetes; Hypocreales; Nectriaceae. The record is from RNAcentral.
AUACCACUUGUUGCCUCGGCGGAUCAGCCCGCUCCCGGUAAAACGGGACGGCCCGCCAGAGGACCCCUAAACUCUGUUUCUAUAUGUAACUUCUGAGUAAAACCAUAAAUAAAUCAAAACUUUCAACAACGGAUCUCUUGGUUCUGGCAUCGAUGAAGAACGCAGCAAAAUGCGAUAAGUAAUGUGAAUUGCAGAAUUCAGUGAAUCAUCGAAUCUUUGAACGCACAUUGCGCCCGCCAGUAUUCUGGCGGGCAUGCCUGUUCGAGCGUCAUUUCAACCCUCAAGCACAGCUUGGUGUUGGGACUCGCGUUAAUUCGCGUUCCCCAAAUUGAUUGGCGGUCACGUCGAGCUUCCAUAGCGUAGUAGUAAAACCCUCGUUACUGGUAAUCGUCGCGGCCACGCCGUUAAACCCCAACUUCUGAAUGUUGACCUCGGAUCAGGUAGGAAUACCCGCUGAACUUAAGCAU